Molecule: RNA transcript, 1885 nt
Organism: Fragaria vesca subsp. vesca
Lineage: Eukaryota; Viridiplantae; Streptophyta; Magnoliopsida; Rosales; Rosaceae
Gene name: poly(A) polymerase-like
Exons: 3
Source: RefSeq, a predicted model, not a curated record
AUGUUGUCGACUCCGAGUGAGUCUAGAGAAGCUGGGAUUCUCGAUGCCCUUGUUUCUGUCGAGAGAUCGCAGUGGAUGGUUGGGAGUGGGUCUCGUAUUUGUCUUUCGGAUGGAGUCCAGUACAGUACUCCUUCACCACCUCCACUGGACUCAAAGAAGAGACCACCGCGGCGGAGACCUGCUUCCCCGCUCGGCGGUGAGGUAUAUGGUGUCCGAUUCGGUUUAACCGACCCGAUUUCGUUGGAUUUCCCUACUCAUCGUGAUGUAGAGAAAUCCAACGAAAUGGAGUUGAUCCUGAGAGAGAAUGGCGGAUAUGCCACCCGGCAAGAACGGGUGAUUAGGGAAGGGGUUCUAGCGAUUCUCGACGGGGUCGUCAAAACGUGGAUCAACAACAUUUUCAGGGCCAAGGGUUUCGGUGUCGAGUUCAAUGCCAGGGUUUUCAGUUUUGGGUCGUUUAGGUUGGGCGUCCAUGGCGCCGGUGCCGAUUUAGAUACUCUGUGUUGGGCCUGUUUAUGCUUCAAGGGAAUAUGAUUUCUUUGGAAUGUUGUAUACGAUGUUGGAGUGCAUGACUGAACAAGUCACUGACUUGAAUGAUGCUUAUGUCCCUGUUAUUAAGUUUAAAUUGAAUCGAGUCUCGGUUGAUCUUGUCUAUGCUAGGCUUUCUCUUUCCGUUGUUCCUGACCAUUUUGGAUAUGUCCAGUGAUUCUAUUUUGUCGUGUGUCUGCCCUCAUGAUGAGCAGUCGAUUCGUAGCCUUAAUGGUUGUCGGGUCACUGACCAGAUUCUUGGUUUAGUCCCAAAUGUGCGAACUUUUCGCACCACAUUGAGGUUUAUUAGGCUGUGGGCAAAGUGCCGUGGUCUUUAUUCCAAUGUUGUUGUAUUUCUUGGUGGUAUAAACUGGGCGUUGCUUGUUGCUCGCGUAUGCCAACUUUACCCUAACGCAUUUCGUAAUUUGCUAGUGUCUUUUUCAGGAUCUAUUUGGAAUGGUGUUGGCCAAAUCCUAUUAUGCUCUGCGCCAUCAAAGAAGAUGGACCUUUGUUUCUUGGAUCACAGGUGUGGGAUCCUAGAAGGAAUCCAAGAGACAGGUACCAUUUGAUGCCUAUAAUUACUCCGGCUUAUCCGUGUGUGAACUCUAGCUACAAUGUCUCCUCCACUGCUCUGUGCAUCAUGUCUGCGGAGUUCAAGAGAGGAAAUGAAAUUUGCAAGGCUAUGGAAGCAGGACAUGAGGCUGAUUGGCAUACCUUGUUUGAGUCGUAUCCUUUCUUUGAAGAAUAUAAGAAUUACUUGCAGAUUGGCAUCACGGCAGGGGAUGCUGAAGACUUCCGAAAAUGGAAAGGCUGGGUUGAGUCCUGACUCCGACAAUUGAUAUUGAAAAUUGAGAAAAAUACUUCUGGCAUGCUGCAGUGUCGCCCAUACCCAGGUGACUUUCCAGACUAAUCCCUACCUUUUCAUAGCUCAUACUUCAUGGGUCUACAACGUAAACAAGGAGUUCCAGUCAAUGAAGGUGAGCAGUAUCAUAUUGAUAUAACGAGUUGUGUUGAUGAAUUUAAGCGUGCUGUGGAUGAGUAUGUGUCAUAGAAGAUUGGAAUGGAGAUCUGUGUGUCCCUUGUAAAACAGAGGGACAUACCUGAUUUUGUAUUUCCUGGAAGGUCUUGUGGGAGAAGCCAAUGUGAAGCUAAAGCAAGUGUUCAAGAUCGAGCAGGUUCAGGUCAGAAGAGAAUGAGAGUGGAUGAAAAUGUGGCGACCGACUCUGCUAGGUGCACUAAGUUUGUACGUCCCUAUCAAAAUUCUCAUGCUGAAGCAUUGCUGAGGUGCAAUCAACCGUUGUUGAGGCUCAUACAUGGGCAUCGAGUACUCAAAUUUAUAUUCCUUGGAUAUGUAGUUUAA